This 591-nucleotide ribosomal RNA is filed under the name Candida albicans. RNAcentral describes it as "LSU rRNA". It matches the Rfam family "Eukaryotic large subunit ribosomal RNA", at positions 51 to 657 of the family's 3401-position model. Lineage: Eukaryota; Fungi; Ascomycota; Pichiomycetes; Serinales; Debaryomycetaceae. The record is from RNAcentral.
CGGAGGAAAAGAAACCAACAGGGAUUGCCUCAGUAGCGGCGAGUGAAGCGGCAAAAGCUCAAAUUUGAAAUCUGGCGUCUUUGGCGUCCGAGUUGUAAUUUGAAGAAGGUAUCUUUGGGCCCGGCUCUUGUCUAUGUUCCUUGGAACAGGACGUCACAGAGGGUGAGAAUCCCGUGCGAUGAGAUGACCCGGGUCUGUGUAAAGUUCCUUCGACGAGUCGAGUUGUUUGGGAAUGCAGCUCUAAGUGGGUGGUAAAUUCCAUCUAAAGCUAAAUAUUGGCGAGAGACCGAUAGCGAACAAGUACAGUGAUGGAAAGAUGAAAAGAACUUUGAAAAGAGAGUGAAAAAGUACGUGAAAUUGUUGAAAGGGAAGGGCUUGAGAUCAGACUUGGUAUUUUGCAUGUUGCUCUCUCGGGGGCGGCCGCUGCGGUUUACCGGGCCAGCAUCGGUUUGGAGCGGCAGGAUAAUGGCGGAGGAAUGUGGCACGGCUUCUGCUGUGUGUUAUAGCCUCUGACGAUACUGCCAGCCUAGACCGAGGACUGCGGUUUUUACCUAGGAUGUUGGCAUAAUGAUCUUAAGUCGCCCGUCUUGA